Long non-coding RNA from Ictalurus furcatus (blue catfish), 651 nucleotides. RefSeq lists it as uncharacterized. The record is from RefSeq and is a predicted model, not a curated record. The transcript is spliced from 3 exons. Lineage: Eukaryota; Metazoa; Chordata; Actinopteri; Siluriformes; Ictaluridae.
AAUUUCAGGGACUUUGACCGUGGCAUGUUGGUGCCAAACAGACUGGUUUGAGAAUUUCAGAAACUGUGAUCCCCUGGGAUUAUCACUUGUCUUUUAAAAGAAAAAAAAAGAAAAAAGAAAAAAAAAAAAAGAGUGAAUGGCAGUUCUGUGAGGAGCUCCAGGUUGAUGAGGAGAACAGCUGGAAUGGUUCAAGCUGACAUGAAGACUAUGGUAAAUCAAAAUAAUUACUCUUUAAAACCAUGGUGAGCAGAAAAGCAUCUCAGAAUGCACAACACAUUAAACCUUGAGGUGUAUAGGCUACAACAGCAGAAGACCAAACUGAGUUCCACUCGUGUCAGCUAAGACCAGGAAUCUGAGGGUACACAGAUGUUGAUGCUGUCUAAAGGACCCUUGAUCACUGGGGCACCUCUGCAAUUAAGGCAAGAUUAUUGGUUUCACUGAUCCCCAUCAACAUUUAAUGACAACUGGGAGGGCAAGGAAAAGAAGCCUGCAUGGGACAGAAGUGCAAAGGAGAAGAAAGCUACUUUGCUACUUCAAUACUUCUGAAAAAGUACUGUAAGACACCAGGCAAUAAAGACUGGGAAACAAUCAGGACUGAGUAAUGAUGGAGGGAGAGUCAUCCUCCACACAUCCACAUGACCAAUCUCCUAU